GCCUGGGUGGCUCAGUCGGUUGAGCGUCUGACUUCAGCUCAGGUCAUGAUCUCACACUCCGUGAGUUCGAGCCCCGCGUCGGGCU
Molecule: transfer RNA, 85 nt
Filed under: Felis catus (domestic cat)
Lineage: Eukaryota; Metazoa; Chordata; Mammalia; Carnivora; Felidae
Also listed under: 2 other names
Rfam family: tRNA
About the family: Transfer RNA (tRNA) molecules are approximately 80 nucleotides in length. Their secondary structure includes four short double-helical elements and three loops (D, anti-codon, and T loops).
Source: Rfam by way of RNAcentral